UUUGUCCUACGGGGGGCAGCAGUGAGGAAUAUUGGUCAAUGGACGAGAGUCUGAACCAGCCACAUGGCGUGAAGGAUGACUGCCCUAUGGGUUGUAAACUUCUUUUAUAAAGGAAUAAGACGAGGCACGUGUGCCUUUUUGCAUGUACUUUAUGAAUAAGGAUCGGCUAACUCCGUGCCAGCAGCCGCGGUAAUACGGAGGAUCCGAGCGUUAUCCGGAUUUAUUGGGUUUAAAGGGAGCGUAGAUGGGUUGUUAAGUCAGUUGUGAAAGUUUGCGGCUCAACCGUAAAAUUGCAAUUGAUACUG
RNAcentral lists this ribosomal RNA (305 nucleotides) under uncultured bacterium. RNAcentral describes it as "bacterial SSU rRNA". It matches the Rfam family "Bacterial small subunit ribosomal RNA", at positions 333 to 635 of the family's 1533-position model. The record is from RNAcentral.